GUAGGUGAACCUGCGGAAGGAUCAUUAACACGUAUCCAACGUUAAACAACCCUGUGAACCUUGAACGUGCUCUCGUACACGCUCUAGCAGCUAUUGAGUCUGGGACUUCUGCUAAAAAACCAUACGAUACGAGCGCCAGAGUAAGUGCAGCAAUCUGUCAGUGGUUGCGCAAGGAUGGCGCAGUAAACGAUCGCUGUAGGCCCACACGGCCGCCUCUGUGCUUCGGCACCUAAUGACACCAGUUUUCUGACCCGGUGCGCUGUAACAACCGCACCACAAACUCGAACAUCUGUUAACAAUGGAUAUAUUGGUUCUU
RNAcentral lists this unclassified non-coding RNA (316 nucleotides) under rhizosphere metagenome. RNAcentral describes it as "partial ribosomal RNA internal transcribed spacer region". The record is from RNAcentral.